RNAcentral lists this ribosomal RNA (317 nucleotides) under uncultured eukaryote. RNAcentral's name for it is "partial 18S ribosomal RNA". It matches the Rfam family "Eukaryotic small subunit ribosomal RNA", at positions 1470 to 1796 of the family's 1831-position model. The record is from RNAcentral.
CCCUUAGAUGUCCUGGGCCGCACGCGCGCUACACUGAUCGGUGCAACAAGCAUCCGUCCUUGGCCGACAGGCCCGGGCAAUCUUUGAACGCCGGUCGUGAUGGGGAUAGACCUUUGCAAUUUUUGGUCUUCAACGAGGAAUUCCUAGUAAACGCAAGUCAUCAACUUGCAUUGAUUACGUCCCUGCCCUUUGUACACACCGCCCGUCGCACCUACCGAUUGAAUGGUCCGGUGAAACCUCCGGAUUGGCGCGUGCCCUCGGGCGCCGCCGAGAAGUUGGUUAAACCUUACCAUUUAGAGGAAGGUGAAGUCGUAACA